UUUAAGCGCAAACAUGAGUUUCCGUGCUCAACUUUAAUCGUUCGUUUUAUUUUUCAAAAAAUUAUAAUUAGUUUUUUUUUGUUGUUAUGAGAUGAUAAAACAUGAAUAGUAAUUUACUUAUGUUUUUAAAUUUUUUUAAAAAAAAUUCAAAUAAGACGGACGAUCAAAUUUAGGCGCGAAAAAAUAUGGCUGCACUUAGA
This is a non-coding RNA of Oryza barthii, 200 nucleotides long. The record is from Rfam. NCBI's taxonomy places the organism in Eukaryota, Viridiplantae, Streptophyta, Magnoliopsida, Poales, Poaceae.